Molecule: ribosomal RNA, 253 nt
Filed under: uncultured bacterium
Lineage: Bacteria
Description: partial 16S ribosomal RNA
Rfam family: Bacterial small subunit ribosomal RNA
Source: RNAcentral
UACGAAGGGGGCUAGCGUUGUUCGGAAUUACUGGGCGUAAAGCGCGCGCAGGCGGCUAUCCAAGUCAGUGGUGAAAGCCCGGAGCUCAACUCCGGAACUGCCAUUGAAACUGUUUAGCUUGAGGACGAGAGAGGUGAGUGGAAUUCCCAGUGUAGAGGUGAAAUUCGUAGAUAUUGGGAAGAACACCGGUGGCGAAGGCGGUUCUCUGGGCAUGUCCUGACGCUGAGGAGCGAAAGUGUGGGGAGCGAACAGG